Molecule: ribosomal RNA, 598 nt
Filed under: uncultured Gyoerffyella
Lineage: Eukaryota; Fungi; Ascomycota
Description: eukaryotic LSU rRNA
Rfam family: 5.8S ribosomal RNA (bases 228-381)
Source: RNAcentral
CUUGGUCAUUUAGAGGAAGUAAAAGUCGUAACAAGGUUUCCGUAGGUGAACCUGCGGAAGGAUCAUUACAGAGUUCAUACCCUCGCGGGUAGAUCUCCCACCCUUGAAUACUAUACCUUAGUUGCUUUGGCAGGCCGUGGAAACACCACGGGCCCCCGGCUUGUGCGUGCCUGCCAGAGGAAACAAACUCUGUUUUUAGUAAUGUCUGAGUACUAUAUAAUAGUUAAAACUUUCAACAACGGAUCUCUUGGUUCUGGCAUCGAUGAAGAACGCAGCGAAAUGCGAUAAGUAAUGUGAAUUGCAGAAUUCAGUGAAUCAUCGAAUCUUUGAACGCACAUUGCGCCCCGUGGUAUUCCGCGGGGCAUGCCUGUUCGAGCGUCAUUUCAACCAAUCAAGCCUCGGCUUGGUCUUGGGGUUUGCGGUCCCGCAUCUCCUAAACUCAGUGGCGGUACGAUUGAGCUCUGAGCGUAGUAAUUUUUCUCGCUAUAGAGUCUUGGUCGUUACUUGCCGGUAACCCCCCCUUUUUAUUUAUUUAUUAGGUUGACCUCGGAUCAGGUAGGGAUACCCGCUGAACUUAAGCAUAUCAAUAAGCGGAGGA